UACCAGCACCCCGAGUGGUCGGGAUGAUUAUUGGGCCUAAAGCAUCCGUAGCCGGUUCUACAAGUCUUCCGUUAAAUCCACCUGCUCAACAGUUGGGCUGCGGGAGAUACUGUAGGACUAGGAGGCGGGAGAGGCGAGGGGUAUUCCUUGGGUAGGGGUAAAAUCCUCUGAUCCAUGGAGGACCACCAGUGGCGAAGGCGUCUCGCCAGAACGCGCUCGACGGUGAGGGAUGAAAGCUGGGGGAGCAAACCGG
RNAcentral lists this ribosomal RNA (253 nucleotides) under uncultured Fervidicoccus sp. RNAcentral's name for it is "partial 16S ribosomal RNA". It matches the Rfam family "Archaeal small subunit ribosomal RNA", at positions 474 to 727 of the family's 1478-position model. Lineage: Archaea; Thermoproteati; Thermoproteota; Thermoprotei; Fervidicoccales; Fervidicoccaceae. The record is from RNAcentral.